Molecule: ribosomal RNA, 253 nt
Filed under: uncultured bacterium
Lineage: Bacteria
Description: partial 16S ribosomal RNA
Rfam family: Bacterial small subunit ribosomal RNA
Source: RNAcentral
UACGUAGGGGGCAAGCGUUAUCCGGAAUCACUGGGCGUAAAGCGUCUGUAGGUGGUGAUGCAAGUCACUGGUGCAAAACUCUGGCUCAACCGGAGGAAAGCCAGUGAAACUGCAUGACUAGAGUGUGGGAGAGGUAGAAGGAAUUCCCUGAGUAGCGGUGAAAUGCGUAGAUACAGGGAAGAACACCGGAGGCGAAAGCGUUCUACUGGAACACAUCUGACACUGAGAGACGAAAGCUAGGUGAGCGAAUGGG